GAAGAAGUGGCCAUCAGAAGAACUGAUGAAAGAGGGGUCAGGUGUCUUUAAGUCUUCUAAGGAAAAGCUAUUUCUUCUUUAUCUGGGAUCUUCAACACUUGACAUAAUCUCUUGAUACAGAUUUAUCCUUCCUCAGUCAUUGGAUAGCAUCAUGGUGUGCAGGCAAUCUCCCUAUUGGGAGAGAGGCUGUUAGGUGGGGAGCCCAGCAUCCUGAGCAACUUUUUCCUCUCUCUGUUGCAUAAUUUUAUAGCAAAGAAAGAUGUUUAGGCUGCUUUUUCGGGUUGUAAUGCAGUGUACAAAAAUAUAAACGUGGAUAGAUUUCGUUUCCAAAAGAGUGAA
Long non-coding RNA from Leopardus geoffroyi (Geoffroy's cat), 339 nucleotides. RefSeq lists it as uncharacterized. The record is from RefSeq and is a predicted model, not a curated record. Lineage: Eukaryota; Metazoa; Chordata; Mammalia; Carnivora; Felidae. The transcript has 2 exons.